Molecule: non-coding RNA, 27 nt
Filed under: Homo sapiens (human)
Lineage: Eukaryota; Metazoa; Chordata; Mammalia; Primates; Hominidae
Source: RNAcentral
UUGGUAGGCUUGUUGUGGUCAAGGAAC